CUGCGGGUGGAGACUAAUCUGUAAAUACACUGGCCUCCAUUUUGAAUUCUCUCCUACAAACAAACACAGUUCAUGCUCUAGAAAAAGCCAGCAGGAGGUUAGUGUAUCCAGAGAAAAGACAAAGGGAACAGAGGAAGAAAGAACAAAGAGAGGGCAAGUCUUCCUGGAGCCACUGUUGUCCCUGGCAGUCACUAGGAAAGUCCUGUUCAACCCCUCAAGUCCUGGACUGGAGCAUGAAAAGAAACUUCAGAGAAUAUAGGCUAUCAACCUGAUAGGGUACUCUAGAAGUACAGGAGGACUUGAAGGAGCAUAUGAAGAUUAAUGGGAAAUCCAAAGCAACUGGAGAUGGAAUUCAAGCUCUUGAACAAACCAGGAAGAGAAUUAUGACUGAAGUUAAAAUUUAGGGAGAAGCGAAAACUCACAUAGAUACGAACCAGAGACUUGGCCACUUGAGAGCUCUUUUAUCCACCGUUUCCCGAAAGGAGGCCUUCCUUCCUUUAGUAUGCAUCAGAGCCUCAGAUCUAUCCAUGAUGCACUCAGAAUAAUUCAGAGAGGCGAGGCAAAAGUGACUUUAACAUUCUCUAGAGGCAUCUGCCUCUGUUGUGCCUGUGUUUAAAGAAAAUCCAGAUGGAGCUCUAGACAAUUUAAACAUACGUUUUUUCCUGUCAAAUUAUACAUGAUUAUAUCCAAGAAAUGUACACCGCAUUUUUGAGGUUUUAGGGCAAACCAUUUUUUUAAAAAAUGUGUUUUAAAACACAUUUGACUGGAAGGUACACGAUAUAUAGCGAGAUAGAUAUAUCUCAGAUCAGAUAAAUAGGGUCAGCUCCCAUUUAGGCAACAAACUAGGUAGCCAAAUUUUCAAAAGAGCUGAGUGUAAAUGGGAACUGAGCUCUUUUGAAAAUCUGGAAAAUUCAGCUCUUACUCCAGACCCUUUUUUAUUACUGUAGCAAGAGAGGAGAAGCAGCUUACCAUAGCUGUGUUUGACCUCAGACCAGACUAUCCAGCUAUCGCUUGUUGGCAAACUGAUGCAUGAGAAGCUAGGACAAUUUUACUUCUUAUGUAGAUAGAAAUAAAGAAACCCAUCUUUACACUGAUUCCUAGCCUCAUGCUUUUCCAGAAGAUAGUUUAUGUUGUUACUGAUUAUGAAUAUUGCUGCCUGACCUGCUUUAAUAAUCCAUGCCAUUAAUCAGUGCUGCUCACCUUCAGCUAUGUGCUUGUAUCUCUGUCGGCCAUCCAUGCCCAUAAAUAUCACCACUGUAUAUCACCAUACAAACCCCCAUAAAUCAAUGCUGCUAGUCCACCAGUUCUGAGAGAGGUUUGUUCUGAAAUCUAGCACUCGAUGUGGAUUUCAAAGGGCAAGUUCAGGUUAAAGCAGGAUAAACUCACAAAUUUACUAACUAGAAUAGCUGUGAAUUUCACUGUUACAGUAACUACAGCAUUCUUUAAGGAAGAAGACCCAGGACUGAAUCCAAAGCCCAUUGAAGUCAAUUGAGUUUUUCCAUUGAUUAAAUGGUCUUUGGAUUAGGUUCCUAGAAAGCUAUCCAUUGUGGGUGCUGUGAUCUUGAAAAUUUGGUGCCA
This is a long non-coding RNA of Mauremys mutica (yellowpond turtle), 1578 nucleotides long. RefSeq lists it as uncharacterized. Lineage: Eukaryota; Metazoa; Chordata; Testudines; Geoemydidae. The transcript has 5 exons. The record is from RefSeq and is a predicted model, not a curated record.